GAUGAACGCUGGCGGCGUGCCUAAUACAUGCAAGUCGAGCGAACAGAUGAGGAGCUUGCUCCUCUGACGUUAGCGGCGGAAGGGUGAGUAACACGUGGAUAACCUACCUAUAAGACUGGGAUAACUUCGGGAAACCGGAGCUAAUACCGGAUAAUAUAUUGAACCGCAUGGUUCAAUAGUGAAAGACGGUUUUGCUGUCACUUAUAGAUGGAUCCGCGCCGCAUUAGCUAGUUGGUAAGGUAACGGCUUACCAAGGCAACGAUGCGUAGCCGACCUGAGAGGGUGCUCGGCCACACUGGCACUGAGACACGGUCCAGACUCCUACGGGAGGCAGCAGUAGGGAAUCUUCCGCAAUGGGCGAAAGCCUGACGGAGCAACGCCGCGUGAGUGAGGAAGGUCUUCGGAUCGUAAAACUCUGUUAUUAGGGAAGAACAAAUGUGUAAGUAACUAUGCACGUCUUGACGGUACCUAAUCAGAAAGCCACGGCUAACUACGUG
RNAcentral lists this ribosomal RNA (497 nucleotides) under uncultured bacterium. Its description in RNAcentral is "partial 16S ribosomal RNA". It matches the Rfam family "Bacterial small subunit ribosomal RNA", at positions 28 to 507 of the family's 1533-position model. The record is from RNAcentral.